RNAcentral lists this ribosomal RNA (618 nucleotides) under Ganonema pinnatum. RNAcentral describes it as "eukaryotic LSU rRNA". It matches the Rfam family "Eukaryotic large subunit ribosomal RNA", at positions 1284 to 1899 of the family's 3401-position model. Lineage: Eukaryota; Rhodophyta; Florideophyceae; Nemaliales; Liagoraceae. The record is from RNAcentral.
AACAACUCACCUGCCGAAUGAAUUAGCCCUGAAAAUGGAUGGCGCUUAAGCGGGCAGCCGACACCGCGCCGUUCCGGCGAGACGAUGCCGGGAUGAGUAGGAGGGCGUGGCGGUCAGUGACGCAGGCGAGGGUGCAGACCCCGCUGAAACGGCCGCUAGUGCAGAUCUUGGUGGUAGUAGCAAAUAUUCAAGCGAGAUCCUUGAAGGGCGAAGCGGGGAAGGGUUCCACGCAAACAUUGAUUGGGCGUGGGUGAGUCGUUCCUAAGCCGAGUGGCAAUUGCUAAGUAGCGGCGAAAGGGAAGCGGGUUAAAAUUCCCGCACACGGAUAUGGAGGCGGCGACGCAAGCAGAGGCAAAUACGCUGGCGAGGGCGCUGGGCAGAGUUGUCUUUUCUGUUUGACCGGCAUCGCGCUGUGUGGAAUCCGCUUAUCGGGAGAAACACGCGCGGGGAGGGGCAGAGCGUCAGGUCUUUUCUGGCGUCCGGCUCGCCCUCGACGGCCCUUGAAAAUUUGCCCGCGAACUAUUUUUUACUUUUGUAGAAAACAAAAUUUCAUGCUGUGACGUACCGAUAACCGCAUCAGGUCCCCAAGGUGAACAGCCUCUGCUCAAUAUGAACAAU